This 94-nucleotide transfer RNA is filed under the name compost metagenome. Its description in RNAcentral is "tRNA-Ser". The record is from RNAcentral.
GGCGGCUUUGGUGCAGGCGUUUAUCGCUUGUUUGACUAUGGCGGCAGCUUGGUCAACAACGGCUUGACCGUGGGUGCGACGCCCUCUGGCGUCG